RNAcentral lists this ribosomal RNA (468 nucleotides) under uncultured bacterium. RNAcentral describes it as "partial 16S ribosomal RNA". It matches the Rfam family "Bacterial small subunit ribosomal RNA", at positions 28 to 507 of the family's 1533-position model. The record is from RNAcentral.
GACGAACGCUGGCGGCGUGCUUAACACAUGCAAGUCGAACGGAAAGGCCCUGCUUUUGUGGGGUGCUCGAGUGGCGAACGGGUGAGUAACACGUGAGUAACCUGCCCUUGACUUUGGGAUAACUUCAGGAAACUGGGGCUAAUACCGGAUAGGAGCUCCUGCUGCAUGGUGGGGGUUGGAAAGUUUCGGCGGUUGGGGAUGGACUCGCGGCUUAUCAGCUUGUUGGUGGGGUAGUGGCUUACCAAGGCUUUGACGGGUAGCCGGCCUGAGAGGGUGACCGGCCACAUUGGGACUGGAGUACGGCCCAGACUCCUACGGGGGGCAGCAGUGGGGAAUAUUGCACAAUGGGCGGAAGCCUGAUGCAGCAACGCCGCGUGCGGGAUGACGGCCUUCGGGUUGUAAACCGCUUUCGCCUGUGACGAAGCGUGAGUGACGGUAAUGGGUAAAGAAGCACCGGCUAACUACGUG